UGAGAACAAUGCAUCAUUGAGCAACAAAAAAAAUUCAUAAUCUCACUUAUCUUACAUCUGUUAAAAUAUGUGAUACUCCACUUAGGACACAAUGAGAUGCUUGGAUUUCAUCUAAAUCAAUCCAUGCUUUUGGUUUGGAUUUAAAUUUCCCAGUCAGCUUCUUCGCAUUAAAAUGUCAAGUUUUCGAGGUCUAUGGUGCUCUUUUGGCUGGUAAUACGUCAAUGUCAAGAUUGGUUUGAUCAUCUUGGAUAUGCCUAUCUCCCUUUUCACUGAUUUUAUUAUCUAUGUAUAAAGAUCGUAUGUUUAUAAUUAUCUGAGUUGUUUUUACCUA
Molecule: long non-coding RNA, 331 nt
Organism: Solanum tuberosum (potato)
Lineage: Eukaryota; Viridiplantae; Streptophyta; Magnoliopsida; Solanales; Solanaceae
Exons: 3
Source: RefSeq, a predicted model, not a curated record